UGAGGCUACCUUCCCUAAACAUGAUGGUUUUCCCUCCUAGGAUUUUCAGCCAAGUUUUAGUCUAGCUGGAUGCCUGACUUCAUGCCUAUACUAUCUAAAUUCAUGACUGCACAAUUCUGAAGAGAAUGUAGAAUUUAAUGCAGCUAUUCCACUGUCCACCAAGGAUGCUGCUUCCCUAGCACUUUCUCUUUGGAAAAUUUGAGGGGGGGAGGGGAAGUAUCACAUAUUCAAUAAUUGUAGAAGAAAAAAAAGAUACAAGAUAAAUUAAGGACAAGAACAAUAAAAGAGAUGGAUAAAAGUGAGAGGGCACUGUGGGUCAAGCACAGAGCCAAGAGCCUACUUUAUGAAGACCAACAGGUUCAAUGGGUGGAUAACAGGGAAAAGAUGCUUCGGUUGAGGGAAAGGUUAAUACAACAUGGAAAGUAAGAUUUAAUAAAAAGUAAUCCUUCAACAGCACCACCACAGAUCUAACAUCAAUUUUGAAAAGUGAGCUUUUAGAAGAGGGCAAAAUACAAGCAUCUGGUUAAAAUAAAAUAAAAACUCUACUACGAUCAGUCCCCAAAAGGAAAAGAAAAAGACAGCAACAAAAGGUUAGGGACAUAACCCUAAGUCAAACUAGAGGGUCUGUGUGACCAGAAGAAGGAGGCUGUGGGCAUGAGAAGCCCAUUGGGAAAGAAGAGUUCAGAAAACCUACAUUUCAUGCAAAGAAAAAUCCGGUGUGAAAGAAACCUACUAGGCAGGUAUACAGAAACGACCAAGCAACAGAAAACAUGAGCUGGAAUACAGGAAUGUGCUGCUAAGAGGAGGUGUGACUACACACCUGGAGCACACAGCCAACAGACUUGGGGCAAACGGCAGGUUAUCAGAAGCAGUUUACAAGUUUUGUGAAAUGUAUGUUGUGUCGAAGAACCCUUACAGACUGGGAAGAAUAUAAAGACAACAACCGCAUUACUUCUUUGAACUCACGUUUGAACUGGAGAAUUUCCCCCCCAUAACUUCCAGGACCUGUUUAUAACUGCGGGAGAAAAAAAAAGCACACCAAGAGCCUUAAUGGUUACAGGAGGCUGGUCAGGAGUGAACCUGGGUGUUUGGCAGAUGCUACUCCCAUGGAGUUCUUCAUUAUCCUCAACACGCGAGGUACAACCUCCUUGAAGGACUAUUCAAGCAAGCAUGCUGCCCCCAAACCAGUGGCAAUGAGAUGGCCCUUCUUUAGAUGCCAAAACUACACGCCACGCUCCAUGCACUAACCCUAGUGAAAAUCAGUGCAGUCAACAUCCUUUAAGAAGAGUGUGUUUCUCACGUCAGCCUUGAGGACUUGAGCAGCUUUUCAUAGGCCUGGCUUGGUUUUUUUAACUCAAGAGAGGAUCCAGUUGGUUUUAGUGAUAAACCAGUAAUUGCAUAUUUGGUGGUGAAGCCUGCAACUCUGAGGAGCAGCGAAGGAAGCCGGCUGACAGCAAUUUCAGGUGCUGGGACGCAAUAAAAACAAUGAAGAAAGAAAAUGUUUGCUUUUUCUGUCAGCUGAGAUGUCAGUACCCAUUAAUAAAUCUAUCUGCUAAAUCUACUCUUAUUCAUGUGGGACCUCACCAAUUUAAAGUAAAAUAAAUUAUCUUUAAUUAAAUGGAAUUGUCGUCUUCCUCCUGCUAUCAUCCCCAAUUAUUCUCCUUAAUCAGCCCUUUAGGGAGAAGGCGAGAUAGAACGCUGAAAGGCGCACUGACUAUAAACAAUUUCGCUUUCCGUCAAGGGAUGAAAUUUUUAAUUUUGAUUACAGUUUAUAACUAUAAAUUUUGGAUAUAAGGAAUGAAAACUGCAAAAAUCUUAUCUUUUGUGGGACAGGGAAACAGUACACAGUCACUUCCAAACUCCCCUUUCUCUUUCCUGUGAACAUUUCAGAAGAAGCCAUGUAUGGACAACAAAUUAAUGAUUUCAUUGUACUUUAUUACUUUUAUUUCCAAUCCAAGCACUACUGGUUUUAAUGAAUACCUUAAAGUAUACUGCAGUCACUGAAUGCCAUCUUCAAUGGUUUGAGGUUGUUAAGCUUUCAAAACCUGGGAUUUCUGAAUGGUAUCAAUUUAUGUUUAGACAAGAGCAGCACAUGUACUUUAAAUAUUAAGACAGGGCAUUGGAUAACAGACAAGGCUGAAUCAUCGCUAGCUAUUUGAUAAUUUCUCCUCCGAUUCCCACUUCCUUUCCGGGCUUGGGAGAAUAACUGUACCAAAACUCUAAGAAAAGCACUCUACACUUCAACCAAGUGACAUACUGUAGAAUUACACCAGUUCAGCCCUUAUAUGAACGCAGCAAUGCCCUCUGAAAUAAAUGAUGAAAUCAAUAGCCAAUUCACAUAGUAUCUCAUCCCAGUCUCAAAGGCACAGAGAUGACAUAGUAUCCCAUGAGCAAUGAAGAAGGAGCAACUGGACCCAUCUCUGUGGCAGUCACCCCUCCUCUACUGAAGCAACACCCAGGUAGGGGUGUGUGUGUGUGUGUGUGUGUGUGUGUGUGUGUGUGUGUGCAUUUCACGCUUUAUUCUAACUGUGGUCCUCUGGUAGGAGAAAGGGGAGUUUGCCUUUAUAUUGGGAGAGUGAAUAUUAAUUAUUUACAGAUAAAUGGGCUGGAGCACUGACUGCUUACUGACUACUUACUGUUACUUUUAAAAAUGUAUUUUUUUCUUCCAGGGUGUAGCACUGUUUUCAUUUAGCAUGCCUUUGAAUUGCCGCCUACAGAAGUAAAAAAGGAAACCGCAGCCAUACAAGCCUGCUGACUUUCUUAUAAAAGAACCAGUUUUAAACUUGUUUAUACUACUGAUUCCAAAUGAAUUCAAGAUGGUGGCUAGUUAAAGAAAGAGAGCCCAUGCCAGGGAGUUUGAUCAAAGAACUUCAAUUCAGCAAUGUUCAGUUUUAAUUGACCACUAAUUAAGCUACAUUAGUCCAAGAAAGGUCUGUAUCACUUUGAGUAAUAAAGAAAAGAAUUAAUUUAACCCUGUGUCACUCAGCUUUAGUAAAUUCAUCUGAAAGCAACUUCUCAAACGACAAGCAUGAAAGAGGUGUCUGGAGCUAAAUGCCAAAAGUGGUCCACAGAAUUCAGAGGAGACGGGGGACGCGGCUCUCAAGUGCGGUUGUCACUUCACCAGUGAUGUCACCUUGCAGGUGUAAUUAUCUUCAUUACAGAUACAAAGAUGUCAGCCUUGCUCCCCGGGUUGCAAAGGGUUGCUUUAAAAUUGGAUUCAAAACAUGGCAGCACACCAGCCAAUUUUAACUUUCCUGUAUUCUCGACAAAAAUAGAGUGGAUUUGCAAAAUCAUGAGAAUUUUCAAAGGCUUGGAACUCUCUUCUGGGAAAAGAACUCAACCCGGUCCAAACUGAAAGAGUGCACAGAGCACAAAUGCCUCUUGACACCAUGAUUAUUACUGAAACCAUGGCUUGUGAUACCAUUCGAUGCCCAAGAAGAAAGCAUCGGAGCAUGUGUCAAGCACCUAGUCUGCCCAGCCAGGGGAGAUUGGAAAUUUAGGCAAUCCUCUCACUUAUUCAAGAACGGUCCGCUGUGAAUCCAAGCUGCCGGUCCUUGUGCCCAACUGCCAUGCCGUGUCUACUCUGAUCAAACCUUGGAGAACCUUGCAAAGCCUCAGGCAGAAACUGAAGGGUGGCACAAGCUACUGUCAGACUUGGCAAGUCUCUCCAAAACUUGGCAUCGAAGAGGUGAGGUGUACUGGGUUCUAAAAGUUGGCAGGCAUUAAGACUCUGCCAUCGGAUCCUUCACCCUUCCUGCAUAGAGUGCUAGGGAGGGCAACAAAGGUCUCCGUAUCACUUUCCAAAUCACAGCCAGGAAGAUACAGUGAUGGUGGACACAGGGCAGUGACAGGAGGAAAGGUCCCUGUUGUCAGUAGAGUAAAAAGCUGCACUGUUGGGAAAGCUGAAGAAUCCCUCAGGUUUGCUUUAAUCUUAUAACCUUUUUUAUGUAUAUAUUUAACAUAUAACCAUAUAUUUAACAAGGAUUCAAACAAUAUCCGUGACGCUCCCCUCAAAUAUUUAUAGGUAACUGCUAAUUAUUCUUUAGGAUAAUACCCUUUUUCAUCUUUAUGUCCUCUAGCAGAAAAAGUAACAUACUUCUUUUAGGAUUCUAUAAAACAAGAAACAUAGAUUGAGUUCCCAAUAUUCUAAAAGAUAAGAUGUGAGUACAUAUAUUUAGGGUAAGGAGAAAAUGUCCCUUAUUGACUCAAUAAAGUCUAACAGCUGCUUUGAACUCAUUCCAGUUGGUUCACAAAUAGUUUACUAUAUUGACAAUACUGCAAAUGAAAGAUUACAUUUUCUUGGUAAACCGUGGAAAUAGUUGUACAAUACUCUAUAGAGUGAUGUCUCAAACAAAUAAAAAGGAAAGACAUUGGUUGGUGGGGAGGGAAGGGGGAAAGGAAGGAGAAAGGGAAAAGAAGGCGGAAGGAAGGAGGAAAAUGGUAAAAGAGAAGUGAAAAGAUAGGAAAUGGAGGGGGGAAGAAAAGAGCAUGGAGAAGAAAGGGAAAUAAAAAUGGAACAGGAAGGAUGAAAAGGGGACAGGAAGGAGGGAGGCAAAGGAAGGGACUCUGUAUGUAGCUCACAUGGCAAGAAUUAACUAUGAAUGUCCAGAUUUCAUAUUGAAAGCUGGACUCCUCUGCCUCUGUCCUGCUGAGAAGUUCUGUACAGUAUGCAAGGUUUAGCCUCUCCCACCAUAUUGCCAACAGCAACCCCAUCCCCAUCCCCACAACUGGGACAAUCAAGACUGUUUCCAUCUGUCCCCUGGGAGGCACCACUGCUCUAGAGAUACAUGUUUGUAAUCAGAGUCUGUCAAUGACAAAUACCCAUUUGGAUUUUCUGGAGUUUUCUAUAAACAUCGCUUAAAGUAUCUUUUGCCCUCCAAACCAUGGAAAAGUCAUUUACACCCAUCCAUGAUCACUUUGGAUGUGAUAUUGUGACCUGUGGCACUGAAAUCAGCAAUCUGUGUUUGUUCUGGAACUUUUAAAAUUAGCUCUGUAGUGAUCUCAAGUAUGUAAUAGAAAUGUUUAUUAUUUUCAACUGCCUUGCUCUUAUCUAUAUAUAAUAGCCAAACUAAUGCAUUGUACAUAACUUUCUAAUG
Molecule: long non-coding RNA, 5096 nt
Organism: Peromyscus californicus insignis
Lineage: Eukaryota; Metazoa; Chordata; Mammalia; Rodentia; Cricetidae
Exons: 3
Source: RefSeq, a predicted model, not a curated record